CAGCACAUGUGUUAUUGGUUGUAUUCUCCAAUAUCCCCAUCUUUUAACAUUGCCAGUGAGCAGACGGAUGUAGAAAGAAUAACAGCAGAAGGACUCUCAAUUCAAAGACUUAAACCAGCAGGGAAUUGCCUCCAUUGAAACUAUUAUUUCCAGAAAUACUAAUGAGCAGCCUACAUCAGCUGAGAAAAGUGAAACUGGAAUUCCUAAAGAUAAAAGCCAGGGCUGCUGAUAUUCUGUACAUAUUCAACUGCUGGCAAUAGGCAAUAGUAGAUGCUGGGAAACUGUAAUUCCAGAUUUCUAUGCAGUCAUAGAAGACCUCGAGAAAAGUGUCGAGAAACUUCUACAAAAGACUAAAUUGAC
Molecule: long non-coding RNA, 360 nt
Organism: Homo sapiens (human)
Lineage: Eukaryota; Metazoa; Chordata; Mammalia; Primates; Hominidae
Exons: 5
Source: RefSeq, a predicted model, not a curated record